GACGAACGCUGGCGGCGUGCUUAAUACAUGCAAGUCGAACGGAAAGGCCCUGCUUUUGCUGGUUGCUCGUUUGGCGAACGCGUGAGUAACACGUGUGUAACCUGCCCUUGACUUUGGGAUAACUUCACGAAACUCCGGCUAAAACCCGAUAGGAGCUCCUGCAGCAUGGUGUGGAUUGGUAAGUGUCGGCGGUUGGGGAUGGAUUCGCGGCUUAUCAGCUUCUUGGUGGGGUAGGUGCUGACCAAGGCUUCGACGGGUAGCCUGCCUGAGAGGGUGACCGGCGACAAUGGGACUGAGAGACGGCGCAGACUCGUACGGGACGCAGCGGGGGGGAAUAUGGCGGAAUGGGGGGGAGCCUGAUGCGGCAGCGCCGGGUGCGGGAUGCCGGGCUUCGGGUUAUAAACCGAUUUCGAAUGUGACGAAGAGUGCGUGACGGUAAUGGGUAAAGAAGCACCGGCUAACUACGUG
This 468-nucleotide ribosomal RNA is filed under the name uncultured bacterium. RNAcentral's name for it is "partial 16S ribosomal RNA". It matches the Rfam family "Bacterial small subunit ribosomal RNA", at positions 28 to 507 of the family's 1533-position model. The record is from RNAcentral.